Molecule: ribosomal RNA, 157 nt
Filed under: Henningerozyma blattae
Lineage: Eukaryota; Fungi; Ascomycota; Saccharomycetes; Saccharomycetales; Saccharomycetaceae
Description: Tetrapisispora blattae 5.8S ribosomal RNA
Rfam family: 5.8S ribosomal RNA
About the family: 5.8S ribosomal RNA (5.8S rRNA) is a component of the large subunit of the eukaryotic ribosome. It is transcribed by RNA polymerase I as part of the 45S precursor that also contains 18S and 28S rRNA.
Source: RNAcentral
AAAACUUUCAACAACGGAUCUCUUGGUUCUCGCAUCGAUGAAGAACGCAGCGAAAUGCGAUACGUAAUGUGAAUUGCAGAAUUCCGUGAAUCAUCGAGUCUUUGAACGCACAUUGCGCCCUCUGGCAUUCCGGAGGGCAUGCCUGUUUGAGCGUCAU